CCUACGGGAGGCAGCAGUGGGGAAUAUUGCACAAUGGGCGAAAGCCUGAUGCAGCGACGCCGCGUGAGGGAUGACGGCCUUCGGGUUGUAAACCUCUUUCAGCAGGGAAGAAGCGAAAGUGACGGUACCUGCAGAAGAAGCGCCGGCUAACUACGUGCCAGCAGCCGCGGUAAUACGUAGGGCGCAAGCGUUGUCCGGAAUUAUUGGGCGUAAAGAGCUCGUAGGCGGCUUGUCACGUCGGGUGUGAAAGCCCGGGGCUUAACCCCGGGUCUGCAUUCGAUACGGGCUAGCUAGAGUGUGGUAGGGGAGAUCGGAAUUCCUGGUGUAGCGGUGAAAUGCGCAGAUAUCAGGAGGAACACCGGUGGCGAAGGCGGAUCUCUGGGCCAUUACUGACGCUGGGGAGCGAAAGCGUGGGGAGCGAACAGGAUUAGAUACCCUGGUAGUCCACGCCGUAAACGGUGGGAACUAGGUGUUGGCGACAUUCCACGUCGUCGGUGCCGCAGCUAACGCAUUAAGUUCCCCGCCUGGGGAGUACGGCCGCAAGGCUAAAACUCAAAUGAAUUGACGG
RNAcentral lists this ribosomal RNA (568 nucleotides) under uncultured bacterium. RNAcentral describes it as "bacterial SSU rRNA". It matches the Rfam family "Bacterial small subunit ribosomal RNA", at positions 338 to 916 of the family's 1533-position model. The record is from RNAcentral.